This 708-nucleotide long non-coding RNA is filed under the name Citrus maxima (pomelo). RNAcentral describes it as "long non-coding RNA (CMAX_LNC003495)". Lineage: Eukaryota; Viridiplantae; Streptophyta; Magnoliopsida; Sapindales; Rutaceae. The record is from RNAcentral.
ACCAUAUCUCACCCAAAUGGGGGAAAAGAAAAAACAAAAGAAUGAAUCAUAAAUCACAAAUCAAUUUUGGUAUACAAAUUACUAGUCAUGGUUAUAACUAAAUACAACAUCUCAAGUGAACGAACCUCAACAAAUUAUGAAACGAAACACGAAACAAUCAGCAGUAGCUCAAGUUAUUGGUUUUUAUUCUCUGCAAAAACAGAACAAACCAGAGAAAUGAGAGACAAAAACAGCAGCGAUAUUUACAUAACUCAAGCACAUUAACAAAAACAUGGGAACGAGGAAAAAGAAAUGAACUUUAAACCAAAUUCAUAAAACCGAAACGAAAAAUGGAACUUUUUUGUUCGAUUUUUUGUUCUGCUGAGAGAUUUUGUUGACAAAAACAAAAGAACCCAGAAAUGCUAAAGAGGAAGAGAGAGAAAUCAAUACGUGAUCGUAGUGUUAAAAAAAAAAAAAACCUCACAACAGUAGUCAGAUGGCAGCAGGGGAGCACCGUGACAGCAGCAACAAUUGAUAGUAGGUGACAGCGGCAAGUGACAGUGGCAGCAGCAGCAGAUGACAGCGGCUACAGCAGGUGGUAGCGGCGGCGGAGAGUCGUGAAGGACAAGCAGCAGCAGCAGCGGGGACGAGAUUCCAGCGGCUGAAGGUGCUGCGGCUUCGGUUUUCGGCUGAAGAUCAGAAGAAAUGAAGAAUGUGUUUAGUUUAGAC